AGCUUUCUGAAUCCGUGCAGUGAUUUCGUAAAACAUCAACCCAUUAGGAUUGAUCAAACUUCAAAGAUAAAUGAAGCU
This 78-nucleotide microRNA precursor is filed under the name Schistosoma margrebowiei. RNAcentral describes it as "mir-3492 microRNA precursor family". It matches the Rfam family "mir-3492 microRNA precursor family". The record is from Rfam by way of RNAcentral. Lineage: Eukaryota; Metazoa; Platyhelminthes; Trematoda; Strigeidida; Schistosomatidae.